This is a small nuclear RNA of Phacochoerus africanus (Common warthog), 107 nucleotides long. NCBI's taxonomy places the organism in Eukaryota, Metazoa, Chordata, Mammalia, Artiodactyla, Suidae. The record is from RefSeq and is a predicted model, not a curated record.
GCGCUUGCUUCAGCAGCACAUAUACCAAAAUUUAAAUGAUAUAGAGAAGAUUAGCAUGGCCCUUACACAAGGAUGACAGGCAAAUUUGUGAAGCAUUCCAUAUUUUU